RNAcentral lists this ribosomal RNA (974 nucleotides) under uncultured organism. Its description in RNAcentral is "bacterial SSU rRNA". It matches the Rfam family "Bacterial small subunit ribosomal RNA", at positions 275 to 1270 of the family's 1533-position model. The record is from RNAcentral.
AGCGAUCAGUAGCUGGUCUGAGAGGACGAUCAGCCACACUGAGACUGAGACACGGCCCAGACUCCUACGGGAGGCAGCAGUGGGGAAUUUUCCGCAAUGGGCGAAAGCCUGACGGAGCAAGACCGCGUGAGGGAGGAAGGCUCUUGGGUUGUAAACCUCUUUUCUCAGGGAAGAAGCUCUGACGGUACCUGAGGAAUCAGCCUCGGCUAACUCCGUGCCAGCAGCCGCGGUAAUACGGGAGGAAGGCAAGCGUUAUCCGGAAUUAUUGGACGUAAAGCGUCCGCAGGGCCGAUUCAAUCUGCUGCCAAGCACCGGGCUUAACCCCGUUAAGGCAGCGGAACCUGAUAGCUAGACUCCUUAGGGUAGAGGGAUCCCCGGGUAGCGGUAAAUGCGUAGGAUCGGGAGAACUCCGUGGCGAAGCGCCCUUACUGGACGCAACCGACACUCAGGGACGAAAGCUAGGGGAGCGAAUGGGAUUAGAUACCCCAGUAGUCCUAGCUGUAACGAUGGAUACUAGGUGUAGCUUGUAUCGACCCCGAGUGUGCCGAAGCUAACGCGUUAAGUAUCCCGCCUGGGGAGGUACGCCACGCAAGUGGUGAAACUCCAAAGGAAUUGACGGGGGGCCGGCACAACCGGUGGAGUAUGUGGUUUAAUUCGAUGCAACGCGAAGAACCUUACCAGGGCUUGACAUGUCCGGAAUCCCGGUGAAAGCUGGGAGUGCCUUCCGGGAGCCGGGACACAAGGUGGUGCAUGGCUGUCGUCAGCUCGUGUCGUGAGAUGUUGGGUUAAGUCCCGCAACGAGCGCAACCCUCGUCUUUAGUUGCCAGCAUUAAGUUGGGCACUCUAGAGAGACUGCCGGUGACAAACCGGAGGAAGGUGGGGAUGACGUCAAGUCAGCAUGCCCCUUACGCUCUGGGCGACACACGUACUACAAUGGUCGGGACAGAGGGCAGCGAACCUGCGAAGGCAAGCUA